AACUGGCUAGUGAUUAUUACCAGCGUUAAAUGUACAGUUCAGAAGUCGUUUUCACUGCAUACGUGUUGUUUGAAGGCGCAAAAUAAUUUUUAUUUUCUUUGAUGCUAAAACGCAUUUAUAACGGUGUAUGGCGUUUACACGAAUAACUCUAAGAGGAUCUAUUUCAAGUUCAUAUAGGCCUACUGGUUGUCUGCGUAAUUAAACCAGUGUUGACAAAUCACUUACAGUUGCAUAUGCAAGUGUUUAUAACAGGUUUGAACGGUGGGUGGGUGUUAUCUAGAUUUAGGGCUGUGUCAUCUCGAUGACGUGGAGGAACUCAAGUCAGCCUUAACUUUAAACCUCUCCGUCUCAUACAGUUAAAUUAAACACAAAUUAAAUCAAGGUUUUUAAAUCAACUGGCUUGAAUGGGUCUCUAAAGCGCAGGACUGACGUCUGUUUCGCUUUCCGGACAGCUGAUCGCGCGUGCUACACUGGACCAGAAAAAAUGCAGCUAGGCUUGUCGGUUUCUGACAGUGAUGUCUCUUCGUUCACCCCUCUGGUGGUCCUGGAGCUUGCUGAUGACACUAAAGCAGAGGCCAUCACUUGGUUACUAAACAGGAUCAGAGGCAAGCAGCAAAAUGGAGGAGCAGAGUUGUUGGUGGAUCAGCUCCUGUUUCCAGCUCAGGAUGGUCAGAAGUCUAAUCCAAAUGUCUUUGUGGUGGGCUCCACAUUGCAGAGGCUCUUGAAAGGAGCUGAGGAUGUAGGGUUAUUUAAGGAAUUUCAAGAUGGGACAAUGCGAGGGUUCACUUAUGCCAACAGAGAAAGCUUCAAAGACUUUUAUGGAGAUGGUGAAGGAUUUCUCAGUGAUGCCGAGUGUCAAUACAUUAUCAAACAUGAGUUGGACACACUUAGGGCUAAGAAUGAAGAGCAUGUUCCUGGAUACCCUAAGGUUAAGCUCUACCCUGGAAAAUCAGUUGUGCGGAGGUUGCAGUCUAAAGGUGUCCUAGUCCAGUAUUUUCCUCUCCAUAACAAAGAAGACCUUAAAAGGCUCUCGUUCUCAUGGUACAAAAAGAUCAAAUUGUCCUUCCAGCCACUGGAUGACAUCAGACAUUACUUUGGUGAGGGUCUGGCGCUCUACUUUGGAUUUCUGGAGUAUUUCACGUUUGCCUUGGUACCCAUGGCCCUCAUUGGUAUCCCUUACUACCUCUUUGACUGGGAGGACUACGACAAGUAUGUGCUGUUUGCUGUCUUCAACCUGGUUUGGUCUACAGUAUUCUUGGAAGUGUGGAAGAGAUGCAGCGCUACGUUAGCAUACGGGUGGGGAACUCUGAGCCGCAAAAAAGCAUUUGAAGAACCGAGGGCUGGAUUCCAUGGAGCUCUGGGGUUUAAUCCAAUCACAGGCCGAGAGGAACCAGUCUACCCUAGCUCAAAGCGGCAGUUGAGGAUAUAUUUGGUGUCGGUUCCCUUUGUUCUGCUGUGCCUCUAUCUGUCCUUUUACGUGAUGAUGGUUUACUUUGACAUGGAGAAUUGGGCCAUAAGUAUAUACAAUGAAAAUCCAAACUUUGCGACCGGCAUUCUGCUGUUUGUACCCAGUAUCAUCUACGCUGUGGUCAUCGAGAUCAUGAACUUACUGUAUCGCUAUGCAGCAGAGUUUCUCACAAACUGGGAAAACCAUAGACUGGAGUCAUCAUUUCAAAAUCACCUUGUGCUCAAGGUUUUGGUGUUUAACUUUGUAAACUGCUUUGCCUCUCUCUUCUAUAUUGCCUUUGUCAUGCAAGAUAUGGUGCUUUUGAGACAGAGUUUGGCCACGCUGCUUAUCACCUCUCAAAUCCUGAAUCAAGUGAUGGAGGCCUUCCUGCCAUACUGGCUGCAGAGGAGGAGGAACAAGAAAGUCCAUAAGAGGAUGAGGAGAAUGAUGGGUGAUAAAGAGCUCCCCCUGCUGGAACAAGUUCAGCUGGAGACCGAAAUGAACACCUAUCUGGGCACAUUUGACGACUACCUCGAGCAGUUCCUGUUGUUCGGCUAUGUGAGUCUGUUCUCCUGUGUGUAUCCGCUGGCCGCUGUGUUGGUGGUGCUGAACAACAUCACUGAGGUUUAUUCUGACGCCUUCAAGAUGUGCCAUGUUUUCAAGCGUCCCUACUCAGAACCAGCAGCAAACAUCGGGGUGUGGCAGUUGGCAUUCGAGACGAUGAGCAUUAUCGCCGUGGUUACCAACUGUGCCUUGAUUGGUUUGUCCUCACAAGUGAAAGCCUACUUCCCUGAAUCAGAGACUCAGAUGAUCCUCAUUGUGGUGGCAAUAGAGCAUGUUCUCCUUGCCUUCAAAUUCAUCCUGGCAUUCGUCAUUCCAGAUGUUCCUAAACAUAUCCAAGUCAAACUAGCCAAGCUGGAGUUUGACUCCCUAGAAGCUCUUAAGAAAAGGAAAAUACUGGAAGCUGCGGAGACCUGAAAUAAGUGACGGGUGAUGACAAGAACGCGACAAAAGUACUCAAGGUGUACACAUGCUGUAAACUAUCUAGUAUUAUAUUUAACUGACUUUGACUUUAAAUUGCACUCUUUGCCAAGUUAUUAAAAAAAUGGCUUAUUGAUGCUGUACACUUCUGAAUGACAGGGUUUUAUUAUGUUUUCCCGUUUUUGCAGUCGCACGAAUUGUUUUAUUAUUUCUUUAUAUGUCAAUAAAACUGUUACUGGUAUAAUGAGAGAAGUGAACAUGGGAAUCCAAUCGGUGCAUGUCUGAUGGGGUCAGUUGACUAGGUUGAUUUGGUUAGUUUGUCAUAGUACAUCUCAUUUUUUUAUUUCUGUCUGAAGUUGUAAAAAAAAUAUGUUGUAAAGAGGUGAUUAGAAGAAGUAUUUCUCAGACAUUGGGCCAAAAAACAAUUUAUUUUUAUUUUUGAGGAAUUAAAUAAAAAAUUGUUUGAGGACUUGAAAUUGUCCGUUUUCAAUCACUCCAAGUUCUACCAAAGAUAGAGCAGUGCCUUUAAACAUCACUGUACCAUGUUUAACUGUUAUGGCUUUUGUUUACAGAUGUCAGGCCACUUCACCCUGCACUGUACUUGAAAUAAGUAUAUUCAAUAUUCUCUGCCUGAAAAUAAACAUUUUAAAUAUUCAGAUAACAUACUCCUCGUCCUUUCCACACCUUGGGAUGAGACAUUUGUGAUUGAGACUUUCAGAAGGUGUCCUUUAUCAGCCUUAAACUCAGAAGCUGCAUUACCAACAAACACUGAAAUAUUGUAAGAACACCUAAAUUUUUUUUUUUAUGACAUUAGCGAUUCAGUGACCAUGUUUUCAUGCAAAACAUGCUAGUUAGUAUUAAUCACAUAUUCAGAAACAUGCUAGUUUUCUCGCUAUUUUCCUAUUAUACUCCGUCUUUCCAUUACACAGCACGUUUAUUCAAUUUUCAUUCAUGUCCUUAAGCAGCAUACAACAGCAUAAAACGUAGGGCUUGAAAUUCUUUUCUUGUCUGUAUACUGAUUUAUGUUGUGGUUUGUUCCAAAGUUUUACUUCAGUUAGUUUUUACCAAAGUAACUAAUUAUUUCUCUUUUCUUUUUUUGAUUUUAUUUUCUAUUAAGCAACCUUUUUUUCAACUUUACAGGUUAAUGGAUAUACUUUCACAAAUUUGUAAAAAAAUAUUUUUAGAAAUGGCAUGCAGUUUGUUUCAUUGGGAUAACUAAUCGGUGGCAUCCGUGGACUCACUUGAGUGAGAAAAAUGUGAUUAGAUGGGAUUAGACAAUUGUAUGCAUGUAAACAGUCAUUUAUCAUCUUGUCUUGAUAUAGAGACUUGCUAUUUACAAUUCUAUUUGACUAAUUACACAAAUGUGUUUAAAAAGACUAAGGUUUUGGGAGCAAAACAAACAACUCCCGGUGUCUUCACUCUUGAUGUUUCCUGAAGCUGAGGACGGAGGGCAGUGCGACUAGCCAACUUACAACUCAAUCGAAUUAGGGAACCGUUUGUCACACUUUCUGACAGUGAAGCGGUCUCAGCAGUUUCCACUGACCAGCAGUGACACUGACAAUAUGUAGAACGUGUCUGUGUGCUCGCAAGGCGCUCUAUUGACAACACGCAUAUAGUGUGUUUGACCAUUAAGCUGAUGCUGGACAUGUACUUGGAUGAGAAGCGUGUACUUGAGACACCCCUGGUUAUUGGAGACACCUUGGCAGCACAAGCGGGCAGUAAAUUAAGAGCAAAUACCUUUCAGCAGCAGGGGCUUGUGGGUAGCGGUAUUCUGUCAAGUUUAACUUCUUGCCACAUAGUGUCCAGUGAAACUCUGAACCAAGAUGUCUUCUAUUGUACAGAAAGCCCACAGAUAAAUAACUUUAAUGUGAAAUAUUACCAUUUUACUUCCGUUAUGUAUUUUGGAGUA
Sinocyclocheilus rhinocerous is the source of this 4337-nucleotide RNA transcript. It is a transcript of the gene named anoctamin-10, with no coding region annotated. The transcript has 15 exons. The record is from RefSeq and is a predicted model, not a curated record. Lineage: Eukaryota; Metazoa; Chordata; Actinopteri; Cypriniformes; Cyprinidae.